CCGGUGGCGGAUGGGCAUGCGGCGCAUUAGUUAGUUGGCGGGGUAACGGCCCACCGAGGCGACGAUGCGUAGGGGUUCUGAGAGGAAGGUCCCCCACACUGGUACUGAGACACGGACCAGACUCCUACGGGAGGCAGCAGUGAGGAAUAUUGGUCAAUGGGCGCGAGCCUGAACCAGCCAAGUCGCGUGAGGGAUGACGGUCCUACGGAUUGUAAACCUCUUUUGCCGGGGAGCAAGCGUGCGUUCGUGAACGCGCGUCGAGAGUACCCGGAGAAAAAGCAUCGGCUAACUCCGUGCCAGCAGCCGCGGUAAUACGGAGGAUGCGAGCGUUAUCCGGAUUUAUUGGGUUUAAAGGGUGCGUAGGCGGGAUGCCAAGUCAGCGGUAAAAAUGCGGUGCUCAACGCCGUCGAGCCGUUGAAACUGGCGUUCUUGAGUGGGCGAGAAGUAUGCGGAAUGCGUGGUGUAGCGGUGAAAUGCAUAGAUAUCACGCAGAACUCCGAUUGCGAAGGCAGCAUACCGGCGCCCUACUGACGCUGAGGCACGAAAGCGUGGGUAUCGAACAGGAUUAGAUACCCUGGUAGUCCACGCAGUAAACGAUGAAUGCUAACUGUCCGGCUCGAAUGAGCGCUGG
RNAcentral lists this ribosomal RNA (631 nucleotides) under uncultured bacterium. RNAcentral's name for it is "bacterial SSU rRNA". It matches the Rfam family "Bacterial small subunit ribosomal RNA", at positions 215 to 842 of the family's 1533-position model. The record is from RNAcentral.